This 253-nucleotide ribosomal RNA is filed under the name uncultured bacterium. RNAcentral describes it as "partial 16S ribosomal RNA". It matches the Rfam family "Bacterial small subunit ribosomal RNA", at positions 524 to 776 of the family's 1533-position model. The record is from RNAcentral.
UACGUAGGUGGCGAACGUUGUCCGGAUUUACUGGGCGUAAAGGGAGCGUAGGCGGACUUUUAAGUGAGAUGUGAAAUACUCGGGCUCAACUUGAGUGCUGCAUUCCAAACUGGAAGUCUAGAGUGCAGGAGAGGAGAAUGGAAUUCCUAGUGUAGCGGUGAAAUGCGUAGAGAUUAGGAAGAACACCAGUGGCGAAGGCGAUUCUCUGGACUGUAACUGACGCUGAGGCUCGAAAGCGUGGGGAGCAAACAGG